This 7684-nucleotide small RNA is filed under the name Pan troglodytes (chimpanzee). RNAcentral's name for it is "retained intron". The record is from RNAcentral. Lineage: Eukaryota; Metazoa; Chordata; Mammalia; Primates; Hominidae.
GAUUCCUCCUCUCUAGGCAGGGCAUCUCUGAAAAAAAGGCAGCAGCCCCAGUCAGGGGCUUAUAGAUCAAACUCCCAUCUCCCUGGGACAGAACACCUGGGGGAAGGGGAGGCUGUGGGCUCAGCUUCAGCAGACUUAAAUGUACCUGCCUGCCAGCUCUGAAGAGAGCAGAGGAUCUCCCAGCACACCACUCGAGCUCUGGUAAGAGAUAGACUGCCUCCUCAAGUGGAUCCCUGACACCUGUGUCUCCUGACUGGGCGACAACUCCCAGCAGGGGCCGAUGGACACCUCAUACAGGACAAUUCCAGCUGGCAUCUGCCAGGUGCCCUCUGGGACGAAGCUUCCAGAGGAAGUAACAGGCAGCAAACUUUGCUGUUCUGCAGCCUCUGCUGGUGAUACCCAGGCAAACAGGGUCUGGAGUGGACCUCAGGCAAACUCCAGCAGACCUGCACUGCAGCAGAGGAGCCUGACUUUCAGAAGGAAAACUAACGAACAGAAAGGAAUAGCAUCAACAUCAACGAAAAGGACAUCCAGACAGAAACCCCAUCUGAAGGUCACCAACAUCAAAGACCAAAGGUAGGUAAAUCCAUGCAGAUGAGGAAAAACCAGUGCAAAAAGGCUGAAAAUUCCCAAAACCAGAACAUUUCUCCUCCAACAGAUCACACUCCUUGCCAGCAAGGGAACAGAACUGGACGGAGAAUGAGUUUGAUGAAUUGACAGAAGUAGGCUUCAGAAGGUGGAUAAUAACAAACUCCUCCAAGCUAAGGGAGCAUGUUCUAACCCAAUGCAAGGAAGCUAAAAACCUUAAAAAAAAGAUUAUAGAAAUUGCUAACUAGAAUAACCAGUUUAGAGAAGAACAUAAAUGACCUGAUGGAGCUGAAAAACACAGCAUGAGAACUUCGUGAAGCAUACAGAAGUAUCAAUAGCUGAAUCAAUCUAGCAGAAAAAAGGAUAUCAGAGGUAGAAGACUGACUUAAUGAAAUGAAGUGUGAAGACAAGAUUAGAGAAAAAAGAAUGAAAAAGGAGAAUGAACAAAGCCUGUAAGAAACAUGAGACUAUAUGAAAAGACCAAAUCUACAUUUGAUUGGUGUACCUGAAAGUGACUGGGAGAAUGGAAAGGAGCUGGAAAACACUCUUCGGGAUAUUAUCCAGGAGAACUUCCCCAACCUAGCAAGACAGGCCAACACUCAAAUUCAGGAAAUACAGAGAACACCACAAUGAUGCUCCUCAAGAAGAGCAACCCAAAGACACAUAAUCGUCAGAUUCACCAAAGUUGAAAUAAAGGAAAAAAUGUUAAGGGCAGCCAGAGGGAAAGGUUGGGUUACCCACAAAGCAAAGCCUAUCAGACUAACAGCAGAUCUCUCUGCAGAAACUCUACAAGCCAGAAGAAAGUGGGGCCAAUAUUCUACAUUCUUAAAGAAAAGAAUUUUCAACCUAGAAUUUCGUAUCCAGCUAAAUUAAGCUUCAUAAGGGAAAGAGAAAUAAAAUAUUUUACAGAGAAGCAAAUGCUGAGAAAUUUUGUCACCACCAGGCCUGCCUUAAAAGAGCUCCUCUAGGAGCACUAAACAUGGAAAGGAACAAUCGGUAUCAGCCACUGCAAAAACAUACCAAAUUGUAAAAACCAACAACACUCUGAAGAAACUGCAUCAACUAAAAGUCAAGAUAACCAGCUAGCAUUAUCAUGACAGGAUCAAAUUCACACAUAGCAAUAUUAACCUUAAAUGUAAAUGGGCUAAAUGCCCCAAUUAAAAGACAGAGACUGGCAAAUUGGAUACAGAGUCAAGACCCAUUGGUAUGCUCUAUUCAGGAGACCCAUGUCAAGUGCAAAGACACACAUAGGCUCAAAAUAAAAGGAUGGAGGAAUAUUGACCAAGCAAAUGGAAACCAAAACAAAGCAGGGGUUGCAUUCCCAGUCUCUGAUAAAACAGGCUUUAAACCAACAAAGAUCAAAAGAGCCAAAGAAAGGCGUUAUAUAAUGGUAAAGGGAUCAAUGAAACAAGAAUAGUUAACUAUCCUAAUAUAUAUGCACCCAAUACAGGAGCACCCAGAUUCAUAAAUCAAGUUCUUAGAGACCUACAAAGAGAUUUAGACUCCGACACAAUAAUAGUAGGAGACUUAAACACCCCACUGUCAAUAUUAGACAGAUCAAUGAGACAGAAAAUUAACAUGGAUAUUUAGCACUUGAACUCAGCUCUGGACUGAGUGGAUCUAAUAGGCAUCUAGAGAACUCUCAACCCCAAAUCAACAGAAUAUACAUUCUUCUCAGCACCACAUCACACUUAUUUUAAAAUUAGCCACAUAAUUGGAUGUAAAACACUCCUCAGCAAAUGCAAAAUAAUGGAAAUCAUAACAAACAGUUUGUCUGACCACAGUGCAAUCAAAUUAGAACUCAGGAUUAAGAAACUCAAAACUGCACAACUACAUGGAAACUAAACAACCUUCUCCUAAAUGACUACUGGGUAAAUAUAAAAAUUAAGGCAGAAAUAAAUAAGUUAUUUCAAACCAAUGAGAGCAAAGACACAACAUACAAGAAUCUCUGGGACACAGCUAAAGCAGUGUUUAGAGGGAAAUUUAUAGCACUAAAUGCCCACAAGAGAAAGCAGGAAAGAUCUAAAAUUGACACCCUAAUACCACAAUUUAAAGAACUAGAGAAGCAAGAGCAAACAAAUUCAAAAGCUAGCAGAAGAUAAGAAAUAACUAAGGUUAGAAACAAGUGCUUGGUGCUGCGAAGAAAACGUGUGCUCAAUAAAAGAUUACUUAGUAAGGCAAUUUUACUUUUGUAGUGUAGCAGGACGAGCCACAGACAAAACUCCUCAGACACCAGGUUAAAGAAGGAAGGAGCUUUAUUCAGCCUGGAACUUCAGCAGACUUGCAUCUCAAAAGCCGAGCUCCCGGAGUGAGCAAUUCCAGUCCCUUUUAGGGGCUUACAACUCUAAGGGGGUCCGCGUGAGAGGGUCGUGAUGGAUUGAGCAAGCAGGGGGUACGUAACUGGGGGCUGCGUGCACUGAUAAUCAGAACGGAACAGAACAGGAAAGGGAUUUUCACAAUGCUUUUCCAUACAAUGUCUGGAAUCUAUAGAUAACGUAACCGGUUAGGUCAGGGGUGGAUCUUUAACUACCAGGCUCAGGGCGUGGCACUGGGCUGUCUGCCGGUGAAUUUCAUUUCUGCCUUUUAGUUUUUACUUCUUCCUUCUUUGGAGGCAGAAAUGGGCAUAAGACAAUAUGAGAGGUGGUCUCCUCCCUUAUCCCCCACUCUUUGAGAACCUCUCUCAUUAGUGGGAGUUCUCACUUUCAUCCUCACUACCCAUGUCUUCUUGCAAGACAGAUCAAUAGUGAUUCAUAUAGUACACUUGUGCUGAAGCAUUUUGGUGAACUAAGGUAGUGAUGAAGUUUUUUAUUACUUGAAGGAGUACAGGUAGCAAACAAGGGAGUAGUAAGCAGGUUCCUAUUACUAUUAUAAUUUUUAUUAUAAGAGUUUUAAAUCCUUUUAGUGCUGGAAACCAUUUCCAACCAUGGCCCCAGGAUUAAAUCCAUGCCACACUUGCAAGGGCACAUGUGCCAGUUUUGUCAUAUCUUUAACUAUGUCUUCAACUACUUACCCUUGAUCAUUUAUGUGCAAACAGCAAUUGUUUAGGUUAAAUUUUCCACAGACUACUCCUUCAGCUGCUAGCAAGUAGUCUAGGGCUAAUCUAUUUUGAUAGAUAGCAUUUCUCAUCUGGGUUUUUGCUGGGCUAAAACAGUUAAAGCUCUACCAGUUUUAUUAGUUAUUAUUUCUAAGACAGCUUGUAACUGUAUGAUUCAGUUGAGCAUAUAAAUGGGGGUUUGGUAUCCCCACUAGCCGUCUUGUGCCUAAGUGGCAGGCCCAUAGUACUGUAUGAUUUUUUUUCAGGGGGCCACUCAUCAUCUUUCCAGCUGCCUAUAGCUAUGCUUCUCUUUUCUCGGGAAGCAUAGACUGGGAAGCCUAGAAGUGUGCCUGUUUUUAUGGGCACUAGGAAAAAGGAUGGGUUAUAGCACACAUCAGGCUGGUCACUUCCAGGGCUAUAUACCUUGUAUAGAAUAGCAUUAUACAAACAAGUUCCUUUUAGAGCUCUGGUACACUUAUAAUAACCAUAAAAUAAUAGAACUGUAGCAACCUUUUGUCCUACCGCAGUGACUUGACGUAUAUACUGGGAACAGUCCUCAGUCUGGGAAAGGUCAGUUGAAGUCCUUACUGUACAAGUCCAAAUUUUAAGGAAAACGAGUCCCAUGAUGAGUUUCCUCAUGCUUCGGCUGUGCGUGGACCAGUCAGCUUCUGGGUGUGACUGGAGCAGGGCUUGUCAUCUUCUUCAGAGUCACUUUGCAGGGGUUGGUGAAGCUGCUCCCGUCCACGUGCAGCUACCAGUCUACUGAUGUUCAAGGAUGGUCUCAGAGGUUGGGCCUGCUAGAAUAAACUGAGUCCAAUACCUCUACACAGUUAUGUUUAACUGGGCUCUCUGAUACGGGGAGCAAGGUGGUGGGGUUUAGGGUGUUGCAAACUUCAAUGGUUAUGCAGGGAUUUUCACAGAGCAAGCUUUGGUAUCUAGUUAGUCUAGUAUUCUUUAGCCAAUGAUGUCCUUUGGUAUUUAUUAAAGUCACCACAGUAUGGGGGGCCUUUAUCUUUAGGUUUUGCCCAAGAGUUAGCUUAUCCACUUCUUAUGCUAGCAGGGCUGUUGCUGCCAAAGCCCUCAAACAUGGGGGCCAACUCUUAGAAACGCCAUCUAGUUGUUUAGAGAGGUAGGCCACUGGCCCCAGCCAGGGCCCAAUGGUCUGGGUCAAAACUCUAACCGCCAUUUCUUUUUCUCUGUCUGACACAUAUAGUGUAAAAGGUUUUGUCUGGUCAGGUAGCCCCAGGGCUAGGGCCGACAUGAGUUUUUCUUUUAACUCAUGAAAAGCUCGUUGCUGUUGGUUGUAAUAGAUGUAGUUUAUCCAAUCUACGUUUUUAUUAACUGUCACCCACCAAAAUAUUGACUCAAAUCCUGCAGCUACUUGAUUUUGGGCUUUAAAUUGAUCUGGUAUUCCCUUUUGGAUUCCAAUUGCAUCUAAAUAGAUGUGAGAGUCGAAAGGCCCAUAAGGGGCUUCUCUCACUUUACAAUGUCUUAUUUUUCCUCCCUCUGGUUGAUGAAAUGCCAGGGUGAAAGGGAUAGCCAAUUGGACUAAAGCACAAAUGCCACUCCAGUUAUUUGGCAGAGUGCCCAGUAAAGGUCCACCACAAUACCACCACACAUCUGCUUGGGGAUGAACCAGGGCUGACUGAUUGAUAAGCUCUUGAAAAUUCUUAAGCUCACUGCAUCCCUUCAGGUCUCCAAGGAAUGCUAAGUUUUCUCCGUCAUGAGAGACACGAAGUGAACCUAGUGUUGGAAAACAGAAGCGGGAUGGCCCUCGAGGGCUGACCCGCAGGGUGCUCGACUUCCGGAUAUAGCAGAAAGAGCUUGGCAUGAUUUAAUACUCCAGGCUGUAGAAUCCUGGAAAAGAGCUACCAUGCAGCCCAUGCCUGGUUGACUGGAGGACCACCUUAGUGGAAAGGGGACGAUCUGAGCCUCUGGCCUGCCAUGUGCACAAGCAUAACAAUUGCUUUUGUUUAACAUGUGGAGGGAAUAUUUGAUCCAUUCCAACCAGGCAUUUGCAUCUUGGUAACCUGCUUAAUUGCCAAAGUUUGUAUUAAGUCUUUAACUUCUAUGAUCCUCUAGUAAAAUGAACGUAUGGUUUUAGGAAAUUACAAAAACCGGUUGGGGAAGUCCAUCCUUGCUCUGUAGUGGUCCACAGAAUGUUGGACCAACUAUGGCAUAAAAGCUCUACAUCCAGGGGCAAGACUCCUAGUUGGCACUGGGGUCUUUAUGGAAAUCUCCCUGGAUUAAAUGGUCCCAAUUUACUAAUUCCCAGUCUGAGGAGAGCCAGGAAGGUGAGAGGUACUUUUCUGAAGUAGAGGGCUGUCUUUGACUUGGUAAGUCCCCACAGGGUAUAACAAGGCAAGCAUUAAAUGCAAUAGUUUGAGGCAAAAUUGACUUGGUUAUGUUAAUAACUAGAUGGUCAGCAAUAGAGUGAGGAAAGAAGAAAGAGUAAUAGAAUAGAUGAAAGAGUUAAAUUUUUCUUAGCUUAGUUUGGUAGGGUUUUCCCCUGGGACUAUGGCCUACGACUCUGGAGGGGGUGGUGCUUUCUUGACUUGGGUGUGAUGAAUCCAUCCCCUUUCCAUUGUACGAACAGCAGUCUCAGCGGUUAGCAGCACAAGAGAUGAUUUACACAAUGAAGAAAGUACAUGCACUUUGGGCUUCUGUAUGCCUGCUGCUUAAUCUUGCCCCUGCCCCUCUUAAUGCUGAUUCUGAGGAAGAUGAAGAACACACAAUUAUCACAGAUACGGAGUUGCCACCACUGAAACUUAUGCAUUCAUUUUGUGCAUUCAAGGCGGAUGAUGGCCCAUGUAAAGCAAUCAUGAAAAGAUUUUUCUUCAAUAUUUUCACUCGACAGUGCGAAGAAUUUAUAUAUGGGGGAUGUGAAGGAAAUCAGAAUCGAUUUGAAAGUCUGGAAGAGUGCAAAAAAAUGUGUACAAGAGAUAAUGCAAACAGGAUUAUAAAGACAACAUUGCAACAAGAAAAGCCAGAUUUCUGCUUUUUGGAAGAAGAUCCUGGAAUAUGUCGAGGUUAUAUUACCAGGUAUUUUUAUAACAAUCAGACAAAACAGUGUGAACGUUUCAAGUAUGGUGGAUGCCUGGGCAAUAUGAACAAUUUUGAGACAAUGGAAGAAUGCAAGAACAUUUGUGAAGAUGGUCGUAAGUUUAUUUCUUAUUUCAUUUUAGUUCAUUUAUAGGCAUCCUUUUAAAACUAAGGCAUCUCAGAUGGUAUUCAAUACUCAGGUUUUGUUUGAGCCAUGCAAAUGAAGAUAUAUUUGUGUGCAUUCAAUGUGAGAUUUGUGACUAUAGUUUUUUAAAAAGCAUAGAAAAUUAAGAAAGUAUUUUCAUAGAUCUAAUACUUUUUAUGUUGCAUUAUUUAAUUCUUCUUCCUGAGAAUACUGCAGUACAAUUUUGGCACAGUAGAAUUGCUGAAAUCUUUCACAUUUAUACAAAUAUGAGAGCAAACAGUUAUUGAAAACCACCACCUAAAAUCACUUAGUUUUAUCUGCCUAUAACAUUUAUUAAAGGGAUGACUUAAACAUUAACUGCUAUGCUUUUUUGACCAAGAACUACAGUUACUCAUGGAAAUAUUACCUUACAAUUAUAUUUAAAGAUUCACUGUUUGCUAAUUUAACAUAGCAAUGUGAAUGAAAUUGCCAGAAGUCUGCUUUUUUAACUGUCGUACGCUUCAUGAGUCCAAAUAUGAGAUUGUGACAAUGUUUAUUUUAAUUGGCUGUAUUUUUUUCCAGCAAAUGGUUUCCAGGUGGAUAAUUAUGGAACCCAGAUCAAUGCUGUGAAUAACUCCCUGACUCCGCAAUCAACCAAGGUUCCCAGCCUUUUUGAAUUUCACGGUCCCUCAUGGUGUCUCACUCCAGCAGACAGAGGAUUGUGUCGUGCCAAUGUGAACAGAUUCUACUACAAUUCAGUAAUUGGGAAAUGCCGCCCAUUUAAAUACAGUGGAUGUGGGGGAAAUGAAAACAAUUUUACUUCCAAACAAGAAUGUCUGAGGGCAUGUAAAAAAGGUUUCAUCCAAAGAAUAUCAAAAGGAGGCCUAAUUAAAACC